CAGAGGGGGUUAAGAUUGCAGAUGGAAUUAAGGUUGCUUAUCAGCGGACUUUAAAAUAAGGUGACGAUCUUGGAGUGUGUGCUUGGGGUCUUGCUAUGUUGCCAAGACUGGUUUUGAGCUCCCGGGCUCAAGCGAUCCGCCCACCUCAGCCUCCUGAGUGGCUGGGACUACAGGAAAACCACCAUGCACACUGACGCCUUGAUUUUAACCCAGUGAGCUGUAUUUCUGAACUUCAGAACUGUAAGGUAAUAAAUUCGUGUCGUUU
This 265-nucleotide long non-coding RNA is filed under the name Homo sapiens (human). RNAcentral's name for it is "HSALNT0202133". The record is from RNAcentral. Lineage: Eukaryota; Metazoa; Chordata; Mammalia; Primates; Hominidae.